Molecule: ribosomal RNA, 253 nt
Filed under: uncultured bacterium
Lineage: Bacteria
Description: partial 16S ribosomal RNA
Rfam family: Bacterial small subunit ribosomal RNA
Source: RNAcentral
UACAGAGGGGGCAAGCGUUAUUCGGAAUUAUUGGGCGUAAAGGGCGCGUAGGCGGCUUUUCAAGUGACGGGUGAAAUCCCUCGGCUUAACCGAGGAACUGCCUGUCAGACUGGAAGGCUUGAGACCGGGAGAGGUGAGUGGAAUUCCCAGUGUAGCGGUGAAAUGCGUAGAUAUUGGGAGGAGCACCAGUAGCGAAGGCGGCUCGCUGGGCCACACCUGACGCUGAGACGCGAAAGCUAGGGGAGCGAACAGG